This 497-nucleotide ribosomal RNA is filed under the name uncultured bacterium. RNAcentral's name for it is "partial 16S ribosomal RNA". It matches the Rfam family "Bacterial small subunit ribosomal RNA", at positions 28 to 507 of the family's 1533-position model. The record is from RNAcentral.
GAUGAACGCUGGCGGCGUGCCUAAUACAUGCAAGUCGAGCGAACAGACGAGGAGCUUGCUCCUCUGACGUUAGCGGCGGACGGGUGAGUAACACGUGGAUAACCUACCUAUAAGACUGGGAUAACUUCGGGAAACCGGAGCUAAUACCGGAUAAUAUAUUGAACCGCAUGGUUCAAUAGUGAAAGACGGUUUUGCUGUCACUUAUAGAUGGAUCCGCGCCGCAUUAGCUAGUUGGUAAGGUAACGGCUUACCAAGGCGACGAUGCGUAGCCGACCUGAGAGGGGGAUAGGCCACACUGGAACUGAGACACGGUCCAGACUCCUACGGGAGGCAGCAGUAGGGAAUCUUCCGCAAUGGGCGAAAGCCUGACGGAGCAACGCCGCUUGAGUGAUGAAGGUCUUCGGAUCGUAAAACUCUGUUAUUAGGGAAGAACAAAUGUGUAAGUAACUAUGCACGUCUUGACGGUACCUAAUCAGAAAGCCACGGCUAACUACGUG